RNAcentral lists this ribosomal RNA (253 nucleotides) under uncultured bacterium. RNAcentral describes it as "partial 16S ribosomal RNA". It matches the Rfam family "Bacterial small subunit ribosomal RNA", at positions 524 to 776 of the family's 1533-position model. The record is from RNAcentral.
UACGGAGGAUGCAAGCGUUAUCCGGAAUUAUUGGGCGUAAAGCGUCCGCAGGUGGCUGUGUAAGUCUGCUGUCAAAGAGCGAAGCUCAACUUCGUAAAGGCAGUGGAAACUACACGGCUAGAGUGCGUUCGGGGCAGAGGGAAUUCCUGGUGUAGCGGUGAAAUGCGUAGAGAUCAGGAAGAACACCAGUGGCGAAGGCGGCCGACUGGACGGCACCUGACGCUGAGGCGCGAAAGUGUGGGGAGCAAACGGG